RNAcentral lists this ribosomal RNA (461 nucleotides) under uncultured bacterium. RNAcentral's name for it is "partial 16S ribosomal RNA". It matches the Rfam family "Bacterial small subunit ribosomal RNA", at positions 338 to 795 of the family's 1533-position model. The record is from RNAcentral.
CCUACGGGGGACAGCAGUGAGGAAUAUUGGUCAAUGGGCGCGAGCCUGAACCAGCCAAGUCGCGUGAGGGAAGACGGUCCUAUGGAUUGUAAACCUCUUUUGUCGGGGAGCAAGGCCCGCCACGUGUGGCGGGAAGGAGAGUACCCGAAGAAAAAGCAUCGGCUAACUCCGUGCCAGCAGCCGCGGUAAUACGGAGGAUGCGAGCGUUAUCCGGAUUUAUUGGGUUUAAAGGGAGCGUAGGCGGGUUGUUAAGUCAGUUGUGAAAGUUUGCGGCUCAACCGUAAAAUUGCAGUUGAUACUGGCAUCCUUGAGUACAGUAGAGGUAGGCGGAAUUCGUGGUGUAGCGGUGAAAUGCUUAGAUAUCACGAAGAACUCCGAUUGCGAAGGCAGCCUGCUGGACUGUAACUGACGCUGAUGCUCGAAAGUGUGGGUAUCAAACAGGAUUAGAUACCCGAGUAGUC